RNAcentral lists this ribosomal RNA (1123 nucleotides) under Tridacna maxima. Its description in RNAcentral is "bacterial SSU rRNA". The stretch from base 1 to 729 matches the Rfam family "Eukaryotic small subunit ribosomal RNA", at positions 1124 to 1831 of the family's 1831-position model. The record is from RNAcentral. Lineage: Eukaryota; Metazoa; Mollusca; Bivalvia; Cardiida; Cardiidae.
UACGGUUGCAAAGCUGAAACUUAAAGGAAUUGACGGAAGGGCACCACCAGGAGUGGAGCCUGUGGCUUAAUUUGACUCAACACGGGAAACCUCACCCGGUCCGGACACUGGAAGGAUUGACAGACUAAAGCUCUUUCUUGAUUCAGUGGGUGGUGGUGCAUGGCCGUUCUUAGUUGGUGGAGUGAUUUGUCUGGUUAAUUCCGAUAACGAACGAGACUCUCGCCUGCUAAAUAGUUUUCCAUACGUUACUUUAUGGAACCUAAAACUUCUUAGAGGUACAAGUGGCGUUUAGCCACACGAAACAGAGCAAUAACAGGUCUGUGAUGCCCUUAGAUGUCCGGGGCCGCACAUGUGCUACAAUGAAUGCAUCAACGUGUAUCAGCCUCGCCCGAAAGGGUUGGGGAAUCCGCUGAACGGCAUUCUCAGUAGGGAUUGGGGAUUGCAAUUAUUUCCCAUGAACACGGAAUUCCCAGUAGGCGCCAGUCAUCAGCUGGCGUCGAUUGAGUCCCUGCCCUUUGUACACACCGCCCGUCGCUACUACCGAUCGCUCUUGUUAAUGAGCUUGUCGGAUUGGACCCGGUGAGCAGUCGUUGCGCUUCAUCUCCUCGCGGGGUGGGCCUUCGUCUGCGAGCUUUUGGUGUAUGCCGAGAAGAUCGGCAAAUUAUCUGGAGUAGAGGAAGUAAAAGUCGUAACAAGGUAUCCGUAGGUGAACCUGCGGAUGNNNNNNNNNNAGAUACGUACUACUCUGUGCGGUGGAUCACUCGGCUCGUGUGUCGAUGAAGAGCGCAGCUAGCUGCGAGAAGUAAUGUGAAUUGCAGAACCACAUUGAAACAUCGACAUCUUGAACGCACAUGGCGGCCUCCGGGUUACUCCGGAGGCCACGUCUGUCUGAGAGUCGGAAUUGUAGUGCUUUAAAAAUCGGCGGUCACCACCAAAAUAUAUGUCGUAUACAAUAGACACGAUAGGUGGAUGUCCGCGAGGGUUGCUUCUCGGUAGAAAGAUACAUACAAAAAGUAAAAGAGAAGCCGCCGAGUGGCGAGUUGUUGAAAGUAGCCCAGCGAAACAACGGAACAAACCCUCGGAAUAAGAAAGAAAAAGACGUGCUGUACGAAAAAGUGCAACG